This 253-nucleotide ribosomal RNA is filed under the name uncultured bacterium. RNAcentral's name for it is "partial 16S ribosomal RNA". It matches the Rfam family "Bacterial small subunit ribosomal RNA", at positions 524 to 776 of the family's 1533-position model. The record is from RNAcentral.
UACGGAGGAUCCAAGCGUUAUCCGGAUUUAUUGGGUUUAAAGGGUGCGUAGGCGGAAUAGUAAGUCAGUGGUGAAAACCUGCAGCUUAACUGCAGAACUGCCAUUGAUACUGCUAAUCUUGAGUACAUUUGAUGUGGGCGGAAUGUGUCAUGUAGCGGUGAAAUGCAUAGAUAUGACACAGAACACCGAUUGCGAAGGCAGCUCACAAAACUGUAACUGACGCUGAGGCACGAAAGCGUGGGGAUCGAACAGG